RNAcentral lists this long non-coding RNA (864 nucleotides) under Physcomitrium patens. RNAcentral describes it as "long non-coding RNA (PPAT_LNC007460)". The record is from RNAcentral. Lineage: Eukaryota; Viridiplantae; Streptophyta; Bryopsida; Funariales; Funariaceae.
AGAAAUUGCAACAACAAAAUCCUAAUUCUAAUAGAACACUAACAAUGCUAAACAAGCUUUAAUCAAAUUCAGAGAAACCUCAAAGGAAUUCCAAAGAAACAAUAAGAAAUCUUAAAGAAAUAUUAGAAUGAUUACAAACAUAUCUCAAAUACAUCUCAAUUCAAUCUUAAUUUAAUCCUAGUUGAAAUCUUACUUCUUUCAAACUUUAAGCCAAAAACUAACUAAAUCUUAAAUCUUAAACAAAUUCAAAUAAAAUCCUAAAUACUAAAUCAAAUCAUGAUCAAACCCUAACCAAACUCUAAAUCCUAAAUCAAAUCCUAAUCCUAAAUCAAAUUCUAACCAAAUAUUGAUCCUAAAUCAAACCCUAAUCAAAUUCUAAAUCCUAAAUCAAACUCUAAUUUUAAAUCAAAUCCUAAUCCUAAAUCAAAUCCUAACAAAAUCCUAAUCCUAAUCUUAAAUCCUAAACCAAAUCCUAAUCCUAUAUCAAAACCUAACCAAACCUUAAUCCUGUAUCAAAAUCUAACCAAACCUUAAUCAUAAAUUAAAUCCUAACUAAAUCCUAAAUCCUAAACCAAACCCUAAUUCUAAAUCAAAUCCUAACCAAAUCCUAAAUCUUAAACCAAAUCCUAAUUCUAAAUCAAAUCCUAACCAAAUCCUAAAUCCUAAUCCUAAAUCAAAUCCUAACCAAAUCCUAAUUCUAAUCUUAAAUCCUAAACCAAAUCCUAAUUCUAAUCUUAAAUCUUAAACCAAACCCUAACCAAACCCUAAUCCUAAAUCAAACCUUAACCAAAUCUUAAUCAAAUCUUAACCAAACUUUAACCCUAAAUCAAAUCCUAAUGAAAUCCUAAACUCUAAACCAAACCC